UUUCCAUAACAACGAGUUGUUUAUUUAUUUGCAAAAGUGCGAGAAUUGUAACGCGUAUGGAAAAAAUGGCUAGAAUCAGCGAUUUUAAAGAGGAAAACCAGGUUUUCGUGCCUGAAUUGAUCAUUCAAGAAGCUUCAGAAGCUAUAAAUAAAGUGGUGCCAGCAAAAUCUAAACAAUUAUACGAAAAAGAGUAUUCAAAUUUUUGUGAAUGGAGGAAGCGGAAGGAUGCAAAGGGAGUAGACGAGAGAAUAAUUUUGGCUUAUAUUUCUGAACGAUCCAAAAAUGCAAAAUCUUCGUCAUUGUGGGCGUAUUAUUCCCAACUGAAGAAAAUGUUAUCUGUUAAAGAAAAUAUCGAUAUGAGCAGAUUUCAUCAGGUAUCUGCUUUCUUAAAACAACACUCUGUAGGGCACAGACCAAAGAAAUCUAAAGCCUUCAGCUUCGAAGAAAUGGAAAAGUUUUUAGACACUGCUUCAGAUGAUGAAUAUUUGCUGCAAAAAGUGGUUCUAAUUGUGGGAGUUUUUGGAGGCUGUAGAAUUGGAGAAUUGUAACAUUUAUUUUAAAUAAAAGUAUUUGUUGGUA
Tribolium castaneum (red flour beetle) is the source of this 579-nucleotide RNA transcript. RefSeq lists it as uncharacterized. NCBI's taxonomy places the organism in Eukaryota, Metazoa, Arthropoda, Insecta, Coleoptera, Tenebrionidae. The transcript has 2 exons. The record is from RefSeq and is a predicted model, not a curated record.